Molecule: ribosomal RNA, 370 nt
Filed under: uncultured bacterium
Lineage: Bacteria
Description: bacterial SSU rRNA
Rfam family: Bacterial small subunit ribosomal RNA
Source: RNAcentral
CGCGUAUGUAACCUACCUAUAACAGGGGCAUAACACUGAGAAAUUGGUACUAAUUCCCCAUAAUAUUCGGAGAGGCAUCUCUCCGGGUUGAAAACUCCGGUGGUUAUAGAUGGACAUGCGUUGUAUUAGCUAGUUGGUGAGGUAACGGCUCACCAAGGCAACGAUACAUAGGGGGACUGAGAGGUUAACCCCCCACACUGGUACUGAGACACGGACCAGACUCCUACGGGAGGCAGCAGUGAGGAAUAUUGGUCAAUGGACGCAAGUCUGAACCAGCCAUGCCGCGUGCAGGAAGACGGCUCUAUGAGUUGUAAACUGCUUUUGUACGAGGGUAAACUCACCUACGUGUAGGUGGCUGAAAGUAUCGUAC